UCUAUACGCGGUGACCACAAAGGACUCGUAAUUAACUGACAGGAUUAUCCACUAUUUGGCCGGCGUCUGUAGCAAAAUAAUGACCAAUGAACCCCUACCCUCCUAUCAAUUAAUAAGAGAGAUAUAUGAGAGAAUAAUAGAUGUGUGUCAGAACCGAGAUAUCAUAUCUCUCCCAAAGAUUUGAUUUUCGAGAAUUCUUUGGGAAUAGUUGUUCUAUUAAUGAGAAUGGUGCAAAAUGGAAGGGUCGUAUUUUUUGCUUUCUAUAUCAACUGCUUUUUAUUUUUUUCUCAGUGUUCGCAAUUUUUUUUCCCGUCUCUCUCCGAGUUUCCUUUUUUUUUUCUCCGAUAUUGAUAUCGAUUCUUCGAUUGAGUUGCGGCUUGUUACGAUUAGUUCGUCCAAAUCUUGACCUUCCUCAUCGUCUAAUCGCUACUGGUGAAGAACCCCUUGGAGAGAGGACCAAUGUGUACAACAAGAUGAAAACUCUUAGAGGCAUCAUCGACUCGUUUGAGGAAUCCAAAAUCGAGUUUAUCAAAGAUACACCUCUCGGGGGUUUAUAGGAUUUACUAAACAAACCUGCUUGGUCCGCCAGUUUCGGUCUUUUUCUGAUUGGUCGUCAGUUGGACAUCGCAAAAGCAAACGAGAUCUAGGUGGUUUAUGCUGGAACGCCUGUUCGAUUCUCUUCUGCGUGAGAAUUUCAGAAAUUUAUGUCUUAUCGCUCUAACGUUUUUAUUAUCCUUCAAUGCAAUUUUAUUUGAUCUCUCUCGUCCUAAACAAACACUAAGUAAUAAAUGUGUUACCUCUA
This is a long non-coding RNA of Arabidopsis lyrata subsp. lyrata, 802 nucleotides long. RefSeq lists it as uncharacterized. NCBI's taxonomy places the organism in Eukaryota, Viridiplantae, Streptophyta, Magnoliopsida, Brassicales, Brassicaceae. The transcript is spliced from 2 exons. The record is from RefSeq and is a predicted model, not a curated record.